RNAcentral lists this ribosomal RNA (1902 nucleotides) under Triticum aestivum (bread wheat). RNAcentral describes it as "partial small subunit ribosomal RNA". The record is from RNAcentral. Lineage: Eukaryota; Viridiplantae; Streptophyta; Magnoliopsida; Poales; Poaceae.
AUGUUGUGGCACAAUGUCAUCCUCUUCCUCCCCAACAUAGUCCGCAUCAUCUGGAUCCGAGGCCGACGGACUAGUGGAUGGUGCCCGCUUCUUCUUCUUGGUGGUGAUCUUCUUCUUCUUAGGUCGAGCAUGCUCAUCGGAGUCGAAUGGAGGAGAGGUAGCAUCCAUACCCCGGGAAGAAGGCUCGGUCCUAUUGGGACUGCAGUUCUUGGUCCGCGCCAUGAGGAACUCCGACGGAGGAGGAGAAGCCGUGAGCAGGAGAUCAGAGCCGGAGGUUGGAGGAGAGGGCCGGGGCAGCACCAGAGCGAUGGUCCGGCGACGGCGGAUGUGAGGCGAGAUAUGGAUAGGAACGAAAGAAGUGAGGACGUGCCCCCAAAUCCCACGCCCCUCCCUAGUUAUAUGUGGCUGCGGGCGACGGGCCGGACAUCCGGGGCUAGGCCCGGAUAUCCGGCGAGCGGAAGUCAGAGAACAGAAGAAGCAGCGCCAAUGGGCCGAACAUCCAGAAGAAUUUUCCCCAGGGCCCGGAUGUCCGGCGGGGGAGCCGGAUGUCCGGCCACUGGACAGAAGAGCAGGGCAGGGGAAGGAUUUGAAAGGGGCCAACAAGCGGGGCUGAGCGGUCCGGCGACGGGGUCGGGGGCGACGGGUGUUGGCGGCGAGCGUCGGGGCGUCGCUGCGAGGGGGGGCUCCGUGGAGGAGGGAGACGGGCGGCGGUGGCGAGUGACGGGGGCGCUGGCUCGGGCGGUGCUGGAGGCGCCCCUAAUCCGGAUCGGGAUCGAGGGGGGAGAUCAGGGAGUGGGGGUAGUGGGUGGGUGUGCACUAGGGUUUCUGGGUUCCAGGGAGGUUAGUAGAGGGGGGUUGGGUCGGCCUGGUGGGGUGGAUGACUGGGCCGGCUGGGUCGAGGCCCAGUGGGAGGAAAAGGGGUUGUUACUCAUUUUUACAACAUUAUUGAAAGGAACACACAUUAUCCAGGGUAAAGCUAGGUGGAAAAGGACCCCCUUCUACAUUGUCAUUGCUGCCCUUUAUAUAGCUAUGGCAUGGAAGGCUCCACGUGAUGUCGUCUCUGCGGAAGCGGCGACAUUACUUGAAGGUUUAAAGUUACUUCAAAGUAUGGGGCGCAAUAAUGUCUUGGUGAGGAUGGACAAUUCUGUUGUGGUUGAUGCUAUACAUCCGAAUGAGGGACAUUCUAUGAUGGUGGCUCCAGCUUUAGAUGAUUUCAGAGAGUUAUUACGAGAGUUCGGGAAGGUUACUAUUGAGCAUUGUAAUAGAGAAUCAAAUGUAGUUGCUCAUGAGCUAGUUGAGUGGGGGUGUGCAAACACACCUUCGUGUACCAUUGCUAAAUUUUUAGCAGACGAUUUGAACCUGACGUGGUCAGAUGAUGGAUCAAUGGAUGGUGAUGGUCGCCUAACUGACGUAGGACUGCUUUGUCGGAGGUCACUCCUUUUUUUUGUCACAGAAAUCCGGAGGCAGGUCGGCUGCAAUCUGAGCGGCGUGCUGAGCCCGAAUUUGCUCCAGGAGAACCGGGGCUCCGAAGUGGGCAUCGCUUACACGAUGUGGUGGGUGGCGGCACAAAGGGAAGAGAAAAUGAGAAUGUGGCUAGGGUUUUGGGGGUCGCCGUCCAAUUUAAAUAGCCAGAUUUGGCCCAUCAAGCGGCACGUUAGAGCGGCAUUUUCGCCGGACCGCCGGAGACAAGGUAACAAGACUUCUUUUUCUUUGAGAAGAAAAGGUGACAAAGACUCGGACUGCUCACAAGUCCUGGUGACCGUCUUCUUUCCCCCACAAGUCCGGCCGCUGGUUGCCGGGAUCCGCUACAAGUUCGCCGGCUUUUCACCCUUCUCUCUCCUAUUUUUCCUUGUCCACUCCCCCACUCUGGCUGCGAGGUGCGAGCAAAGGCUUUGUAUCUGA